Molecule: antisense RNA, 75 nt
Filed under: Actinophytocola xanthii
Lineage: Bacteria; Bacillati; Actinomycetota; Actinomycetes; Pseudonocardiales; Pseudonocardiaceae
Description: ASpks TB sRNA
Rfam family: ASpks TB sRNA
Source: Rfam by way of RNAcentral
CUUCACCGAGCCCAGCCACAGCGGUCGGUCCGGCGGGUGCGCCCGGCCGUAGGUGGCGAGCAGCGCGCGGGCCUC